RNAcentral lists this ribosomal RNA (397 nucleotides) under uncultured bacterium. Its description in RNAcentral is "partial 16S ribosomal RNA". It matches the Rfam family "Bacterial small subunit ribosomal RNA", at positions 360 to 774 of the family's 1533-position model. The record is from RNAcentral.
AAUCUUGCGCAAUGGGCGAAAGCCUGACGCAGCCAUGCCGCGUGAAUGCUGAAGGUCUUAGGAUUGUAAAAUUCUUUCACCGGGGACGAUAAUGACGGUACACGGAGAAGAAGCUCCGGCUAACUUCGUGCCCGCAGCCGCGGUAACACGAAGGGGGCUAGCGUGGCUCGGAAUUACUGGGCGUAAAGGGGGCGUACGCGGACAUUUAAGUCAGGGGUUAAAUCCCAGAGCUCAACUCUGGAACUGCCUUUGAUACUGGGUGUCUUGAGUGUGAGAGAGGUAUGUGGAACUCCGAGUGUAGAGGUUAAAUUCGUAGAUAUUCGGAAGAACACCAGUGGCGAAGGCGACAUACUGGCUCAUUACUGACGCUGAGGCGCGAAAGCGUGGGGAGCAAACA